Molecule: non-coding RNA, 45 nt
Filed under: Schistosoma margrebowiei
Lineage: Eukaryota; Metazoa; Platyhelminthes; Trematoda; Strigeidida; Schistosomatidae
Source: RNAcentral
AUCCAGUUGACGAGUCCUAAAUCGAGCGAAACGCGCCUCCUGGAU